AUGAGUUGCUUGAGCUGGAACUGCCGGGGGCUUGGGAACCCUGAGGCAGUUCGAUAGCUUCGCAGCAUUGUGAAUCUAGAAGGACCCACUCUUCUCUUUGUUAUGGAAACUAAAAUCAAUGCAAAAAGAGUUGAGGAUCUGAAAUACGCUCUUGGUUUUGGAGGUUGUUUUGUUGUAGACAGUGCUGGCCUUAGUGGUGGUGUUGGGGAUAUAACUACUGGGUAUGAAUCGCCCAGGAGGGGCCGGGUCAUAUCACUGGUGAGUCAUCAAUGA
Molecule: ribosomal RNA, 273 nt
Filed under: Triticum aestivum (bread wheat)
Lineage: Eukaryota; Viridiplantae; Streptophyta; Magnoliopsida; Poales; Poaceae
Description: partial small subunit ribosomal RNA
Source: RNAcentral